CCCUUAGAUGUUCUGGGCUGCACGCGUGCUACAAUGGCGCUUGCAACAAGUCCUGCCAACCCGAUAGGGUGAGCGGAUCUUUGAAGAGGCGUCGUGAUCGGGACAGUUGAUUGCAAUUAUUCGACUCGAACGAGGAAUUCCUUGUAAUCGCGAUUCAUCAUAUCGCGCUGAAUACGUCCCUGCCCUUUGUACACACCGCCCGUCGCUCCUACCGAUUGAGCGAUCCGGUGAAUGUUUUGGACUGGCGUCAGAAGCGGUUCGCUCCUGACACUACGAAAUUUUGUAAACCUUAUCGCUUAGAGGAAGGAAAAGUCGUAACA
RNAcentral lists this ribosomal RNA (320 nucleotides) under uncultured eukaryote. RNAcentral's name for it is "partial 18S ribosomal RNA". It matches the Rfam family "Eukaryotic small subunit ribosomal RNA", at positions 1470 to 1796 of the family's 1831-position model. The record is from RNAcentral.